CUGGAAUCGCUAGUAAUCGCGAAUCAGAAUGUCGCGGUGAAUACGUUCCCGGGUCUUGUACACACCGCCCGUCACACCAUGGGAGUCAGCAACGCCCGAAGUCAGUGACCUAACCUUAUAGGGAGGAGCUGCCGAAGGCGGGGCCGGUAACUGGGGUGAAGUCGUAACAAGGUACC
This 176-nucleotide ribosomal RNA is filed under the name uncultured bacterium. Its description in RNAcentral is "partial 16S ribosomal RNA". It matches the Rfam family "Bacterial small subunit ribosomal RNA", at positions 1326 to 1500 of the family's 1533-position model. The record is from RNAcentral.